CAGUGUGCUUACCCUAACCACCAUCACUGUCGUUUGAAUUUUGUGGAAGCGUUUUAUGUGUCGAAAGUGUUUUCCGGGAAAUAGCAUAUUUAAACGUAUUGCUUAUACAAAAUAAUAUUAACAAAAGUGUGUGCAAGUGUUUGUAAAUAAAGUGUGCAUGUGUACAACUACAAUGCGUUGAUUUGUAACAUAAAAGUGCAAACUCAUGCAAGUGUCCUCGGCGCAAAUCGUGUUAUAACCUGCAAUUUUUACAGUUACAUGUUGUUAGUGCUGCGCUAGGGAUAACAGCGCUCUAACUGUGUUUUAGUAAUUAUCAUAUUUACACCAACUAAUGGAUUAGUUAAAGCGACAGCGCAGAAAUCUAAAAAAAUAGCGCACACGAGGAACCGCAUGGCAACAAAACACUAGACAUUGGAGCU
Bactrocera neohumeralis is the source of this 419-nucleotide long non-coding RNA. RefSeq lists it as uncharacterized. The transcript has 4 exons. The record is from RefSeq and is a predicted model, not a curated record. NCBI's taxonomy places the organism in Eukaryota, Metazoa, Arthropoda, Insecta, Diptera, Tephritidae.